UGAGGCUGGUUUCAUUGGAGGCCAACAGUUUCCAUGCGCUCCUGGUCACACAAGUGAGUCACCAUGACAAACAGUGAAGAGCAGGACAAGAAUUCACAGCAGUAUGCAGUUGCUCAAUUUAGGUGCAGAGGCCCUUUACAGCAGCAGAACACACAACUGCAUAUCCCAUUUUUACAAGAAUUAUUUCCAUUCUGGUUUAGGAGGUUGUCUCCUAUGGAUCUCAGCCAUUCAGUUUCCCAAGGAGAAGGAAGUUUACAAAGAAGAGGCUUCUGACUCUACAUAAGAGGUCAAACAGACUCUUAACAGUGUGACUUAAGGACAGGAGGAUUCUUUCUUUAUGUGGUUCCUGUACUGAAUUUAACUCUUAAGCUUGUAAAGCAGAAUGUUAUAUCUGGAGACAAUUCCAGACACUGCUUAGAAAAAUGGAGCAGGCCAAAAAAAGUUCUCUCUCUUACUGACACUGUUCUUUUUCAUUAAUCUUUGAGUGAUAACUGGUAAUAAACUGUAUAUCUCUAUCUCUGCUAACUAAAUAAACUAACUUUCACAGAUGAUUCA
Long non-coding RNA from Alligator mississippiensis (American alligator), 555 nucleotides. RefSeq lists it as uncharacterized. The record is from RefSeq and is a predicted model, not a curated record. The transcript has 2 exons. NCBI's taxonomy places the organism in Eukaryota, Metazoa, Chordata, Crocodylia, Alligatoridae.